GACGAACGCUGGCGGCGUGCUUAACACAUGCAAGUCGAACGGAAAGCCCCUUCGGGGGGACUCGAGUGGCGAACGGGUGAGUAACACGUGGGUGAUCUGCCCUGCACUUUGGGAUAAGCCUGGGAAACUGGGUCUAAUACCGGAUAGGACUACGAAUCGCAUGGUUUGUGGUGGAAAGCUUUUGCGGUGUGGGAUGGGCCCGCGGCCUAUCAGCUUGUUGGUGGGGUGAUGGCCUACCAAGGCGACGACGGGUAGCCGGCCUGAGAGGGUGUCCGGCCACACUGGGACUGAGAUACGGCCCAGACUCCUACGGGAGGCAGCAGUGGGGAAUAUUGCACAAUGGGCGCAAGCCUGAUGCAGCGACGCCGCGUGAGGGAUGACGGCCUUCGGGUUGUAAACCUCUUUCAGUAUCGACGAAGCGCAAGUGACGGUAGGUACAGAAGAAGCACCGGCCAACUACGUGCCAGCAGCCGCGGUAAUACGUAGGGUGCGAGCGUUGUCCGGAAUUACUGGGCGUAAAGAGCUCGUAGGUGGUUUGUCGCGUUGUCCGUGAAAACUCACAGCUCAACUGUGGGCGUGCGGGCGAUACGGGCAGACUGGAGUACUGCAGGGGAGACUGGAAUUCCUGGUGUAGCGGUGGAAUGCGCAGAUAUCAGGAGGAACACCGGUGGCGAAGGCGGGUCUCUGGGCAGUAACUGACGCUGAGGAGCGAAAGCGUGGGGAGCGAACAGGAUUAGAUACCCUGGUAGUCCACGCCGUAAACGGUGGGUACUAGGUGUGGGUUUCCUUCCUUGGGAUCCGUGCNGUAGCUNACGCANUAAGCGCCCCGCCNGGGGAGUACGGCCGCANGGCUGU
RNAcentral lists this ribosomal RNA (855 nucleotides) under uncultured bacterium. Its description in RNAcentral is "bacterial SSU rRNA". It matches the Rfam family "Bacterial small subunit ribosomal RNA", at positions 28 to 897 of the family's 1533-position model. The record is from RNAcentral.